This 135-nucleotide small nucleolar RNA is filed under the name Capra hircus (goat). Its description in RNAcentral is "Small nucleolar RNA SNORA70 (ENSCHIG00000008549.1, ENSCHIG00020027093.1, ENSCHIG00040027244.1)". It matches the Rfam family "Small nucleolar RNA SNORA70". From Rfam's summary of the family: snoRNA U70 seems to be exclusive to mammals and is a member of the H/ACA class of snoRNA which contain H (ANANNA) and ACA box motifs. H/ACA box snoRNAs are involved in the conversion of uridines to pseudouridines (5-ribosyluracil) a constituent of structural RNAs (transfer, ribosomal, small nuclear, and small nucleolar). Lineage: Eukaryota; Metazoa; Chordata; Mammalia; Artiodactyla; Bovidae. The record is from Rfam by way of RNAcentral.
UUGCAGCCUAUUAAGCCGACUGUGCUCUUUUCCCCAUGGGGGCCCAGUGUGCAAUGGCUGCAAAUAGCAGGCUCCUUGGUAGUGUAUGCAACCUGUUGCCUGUACAGGUUGCCCUAAGGGACCUUGGAGACAACU